AAAACUACGGUCUCAGUUCAGAUUGCAGGCUGCAACUCGCCUGCAUGAAGUUGGGAUUGCUAGUAAUCGCGAAUCAGAAUGUCGCGGUGAAUACGUUUCCUGGUCUUGUACACACCGCCCGUCAAACCAUGAGAGUCGCCAACACCCGAAGUCCGCUUUGCGGCCUAAGGUGGGGGAGAUGAUUGGGGUUAAGUCGUAACAAGGUAUC
This 208-nucleotide ribosomal RNA is filed under the name uncultured bacterium. RNAcentral describes it as "partial 16S ribosomal RNA". It matches the Rfam family "Bacterial small subunit ribosomal RNA", at positions 1276 to 1500 of the family's 1533-position model. The record is from RNAcentral.